GACGAACGCUGGCGGCGUGCUUAACACAUGCAAGUCGAACGGAAAGGCCCUGCUUUUGUGGGGUGCUCGAGUGGCGAACGGGUGAGUAACACGUGAGUAACCUGCCCUUGACUUUGGGAUAACUUCAGGAAACUGGUGCUAAUACCGGAUAGGAGCUCCUGCUGCAUGGUGGGGGUUGGAAAGUUUCGGCGGUUGGGGAUGGACUCGCGGCUUAUCAGCUUGUUGGUGGGGUAGUGGCUUACCAAGGCUUUGACGGGUAGCCGGCCUGGGAGGGUGACCGGCCACAUUGGGACUGAGAUACGGCCCAGACUCCUACGGGAGGCAGCAGUGGGGAAUAUUGCACAAUGGGCGGAAGCCUGAUGCAGCAACGCCGCGUGCGGGAUGACGGCCUUCGGGUUGUAAACCGCUUUCGCCUGUGACGAAGCGUGAGUGACGGUAAUGGGUAAAGAAGCACCGGCUAACUACG
Molecule: ribosomal RNA, 466 nt
Filed under: uncultured bacterium
Lineage: Bacteria
Description: partial 16S ribosomal RNA
Rfam family: Bacterial small subunit ribosomal RNA
Source: RNAcentral